RNAcentral lists this ribosomal RNA (468 nucleotides) under uncultured bacterium. RNAcentral's name for it is "partial 16S ribosomal RNA". It matches the Rfam family "Bacterial small subunit ribosomal RNA", at positions 28 to 507 of the family's 1533-position model. The record is from RNAcentral.
GACGAACGCUGGCGGCGUGCUUAACACAUGCAAGUCGAACGGAAAGGCCCUGCUUUUGUGGGGUGCUCGAGUGGCGAACGGGUGAGUAACACGUGAGUAACCUGCCCUUGACUUUGGGAUAACUUCAGGAAACUGGGGCUAAUACCGGAUAGGAGCUCCUGCUGCAUGGUGGGGGUUGGAGAGUUUCGGCGGUUGGGGAUGGACUCGCGGCUUAUCAGCUGGUUGGUGGGGUAGUGGCUUACCAAGGCUUUGACGGGUAGCCGGCCUGAGAGGGUGACCGGCCACAUUGGGACUGAGAUACGGCCCAGACUCCUACGGGAGGCAGCAGUGGGGAAUAUUGCACAAUGGGCGGAAGCCUGAUGCAGCAACGCCGCGUGCGGGAUGACGGCCUUCGGGUUGUAAACCGCUUUCGCCGGUGACGAAGCGUGAGUGACGGUAAUGGGUAAAGAAGCACCGGCUAACUACGUG